CCAGAAAUGGGAUCUAAGGGGUAAAAAUUUAAUCUAACUAUUCAAUCGAUGGACUGGGAGUGUCUAUAGCUCCGUAUCAUCGAAUAAAAUAUAUAGAAAUAAUCUAUUCAAGAAUCAAAAUAGUAUAUCAAAAUAUACGCCUCCACAUUGAUAUAUAUGCUUUAGUACUAAAACUUAUUAAUAAUAUUUUAUUUUUCUUCGUUACAGGAUGCUGGGAUAUCUGACUCUCAUCCACUAACUGCUGGAGAGGAUAUACA
RNAcentral lists this long non-coding RNA (257 nucleotides) under Elaeis guineensis (African oil palm). RNAcentral describes it as "long non-coding RNA (EGUI_LNC018065)". The record is from RNAcentral. Lineage: Eukaryota; Viridiplantae; Streptophyta; Magnoliopsida; Arecales; Arecaceae.